GGGCGAUUAGUUCAAUGGUAGAACGCUGCAUUCACAUUGCAGAGGCACAAGUUCGAUUCUUGUAUUGCCCA
RNAcentral lists this transfer RNA (71 nucleotides) under Candidatus Sungiibacteriota bacterium. RNAcentral's name for it is "tRNA-Val". It matches the Rfam family "tRNA". Rfam says of the family: Transfer RNA (tRNA) molecules are approximately 80 nucleotides in length. Their secondary structure includes four short double-helical elements and three loops (D, anti-codon, and T loops). The record is from RNAcentral. Lineage: Bacteria; Candidatus Sungiibacteriota.